Molecule: ribosomal RNA, 567 nt
Filed under: fungal sp. ARIZ B228
Lineage: Eukaryota; Fungi
Description: eukaryotic LSU rRNA
Rfam family: 5.8S ribosomal RNA (bases 193-346)
Source: RNAcentral
UGGAAGUAAAAGUNGUAACAAGGUUUCCGUAGGUGAACCUGCGGAAGGAUCAUUACCGAGUUUUCGAGCUCCGGCUCGACUCUCCCACCCUUUGUGAACGUACCUCUGUUGCUUUGGCGGCUCCGGCCGCCAAAGGACCUUCAAACUCCAGUCAGUAAACGCAGACGUCUGAUAAACAAGUUAAUAAACUAAAACUUUCAACAACGGAUCUCUUGGUUCUGGCAUCGAUGAAGAACGCAGCGAAAUGCGAUAAGUAAUGUGAAUUGCAGAAUUCAGUGAAUCAUCGAAUCUUUGAACGCACAUUGCGCCCCUUGGUAUUCCGGGGGGCAUGCCUGUUCGAGCGUCAUUACAACCCUCAAGCUCUGCUUGGAAUUGGGCACCGUCCUCACUGCGGACGCGCCUCAAAGACCUCGGCGGUGGCUGUUCAGCCCUCAAGCGUAGUAGAAUACACCUCGCUUUGGAGCGGUUGGCGUCGCCCGCCGGACGAACCUUCUGAACUUUUCUCAAGGUUGACCUCGGAUCAGGUAGGGAUACCCGCUGAACUUAAGCAUAUCAAUAAGCGGAGGA